GCCUUUACAGCCUCGCAGGUCGAGCAGCGAGAUGCAAGAGAGACGGCGGAGAUACUUCAGACACGUGUCUGUUAGCUUACUGCAACCUGGGAGAAUAAAACACACACACUUACAUUCUGCUCAAGUUGAGUUCUGCGAGUGUGUUUCGGGUGGACGAGCCCACAGCAGUAAGCAGGUUGAUGGAGUUGUCGGUGAGGCUGUUGCAGUGGGAAAGAUCCAGUUUUGUUAAAUGGGGCAUAUGACGGAUGACCAGACGGAGAGUGGAGUCACUGAUGUCCAGGCCUGCUAGUCGCAAACACUGCAUGGUUCUCAACUGGCUGCGAUUGUCACAGCCUGGACCAGAGGCAUCAUUGAUCAAGAAAGGGGAAAGAAAACAAAUGCAGAGAAGUUUGAUAAGAAAAGGGUAAAACAGAAGUAAAGUAAGGAGAAAGUAGGGGAAAAUAACACAAAUUAAUUUAAUUACUGCAUAAACUAAAAGCUGACUAUAUGCAUAUUUUCAGCCUGAUUUCUUUGUUUCCUCACCUGGAGGGGUGACUAGAUCCCUGAUUUGAGAGUCUUUGACCCCGUCGGCAUACCGCAGGUCUAGAGAACGGAGAAGAGGGCAACCGGAGGAGCAAAGAGCUGAAAUAGACGACCAGGAGCAACCUGCCAGCAUCAGAUCCUUAAGCCCUGCAAAAUGGAUUUAAACAAAGCAUUUAAUGCCAUAAAUAUGUUGGUAUAAAAGAAAUGUACUUUCUGAUUGCAUUAGCUUAUAUAAUUCAUUGUUUAUUAAGGGUGUAGUAUUUAUUUACAAGCAGAAUAUUGGCCAUUUCGAAAUUUAAUAAAAUUCAUGUUGAAGUAA
Molecule: long non-coding RNA, 841 nt
Organism: Acanthochromis polyacanthus (spiny chromis)
Lineage: Eukaryota; Metazoa; Chordata; Actinopteri; Pomacentridae
Exons: 2
Source: RefSeq, a predicted model, not a curated record